Molecule: ribosomal RNA, 253 nt
Filed under: uncultured bacterium
Lineage: Bacteria
Description: partial 16S ribosomal RNA
Rfam family: Bacterial small subunit ribosomal RNA
Source: RNAcentral
GACGAACCGUGCGAACGUUAUUCGGAAUCACUGGGCUUAAAGCGCGUGUAGGCGGCUCGGCAAGUCGGAUGUGAAAGCCCUGGGCUUAACCUAGGAAGUGCAUUCGAAACUGCCGAGCUGGAGUUCUGGAGAGGAAGGCGGAAUUCUCGGUGUAGAGGUGAAAUUCGUAGAUAUCGAGAGGAACACCGGUGGCGAAGGCGGCCUUCUGGACAGAAACUGACGCUGAGGUGCGAAAGCGUGGGGAGCAAACAGG